GUGACACCACUGAGCUAAAUCUCCAGCCCUGGACCUGUAAAUAUUGAGGGCUGAUUGUACUUCCAUUUGACAGUGGUGCAAGUGAUUUUAGCUUACAGUCAGUCUCUACAAAGUACUUCUGUCUGUUGCCCUCAGCAGAGCCUUCCACAGCUGCGGAUUGUUCAGCUUCCUGGUGUUACUCAUGCUGGUCUCCAAUUCCUGAACUCAGAGAUCCUCCCAACCCAGCCUCCUGAUUGCUGGGACUAUCAGUGCCCGUCACCAUGCUUAGCAGCAAUGCCCACUCUUGAUGCCCUCAGAAGUCCAGGACCAUUUCUGCUCGUCUGACACUCCUAAUCAACACAAGUUCCUUAUCAACCUGAGAUCUUCAUCAAUAACUAGGACUUGAACCCAGGGAUCCCUGAGCUACAU
Fukomys damarensis (Damara mole-rat) is the source of this 408-nucleotide long non-coding RNA. RefSeq lists it as uncharacterized. The transcript is spliced from 5 exons. NCBI's taxonomy places the organism in Eukaryota, Metazoa, Chordata, Mammalia, Rodentia, Bathyergidae. The record is from RefSeq and is a predicted model, not a curated record.